RNAcentral lists this ribosomal RNA (229 nucleotides) under uncultured bacterium. RNAcentral's name for it is "partial 16S ribosomal RNA". It matches the Rfam family "Bacterial small subunit ribosomal RNA", at positions 568 to 796 of the family's 1533-position model. The record is from RNAcentral.
CAGGUAGGCGGCUAUGGAAGUCUGUUGUGAAAUCCCAGGGCUCAACCCUGGAACUGCAAUGGAAACUCUAUGGCUUGAGCGUUAGAGAGGUGAGGGGAAUUCUCGGUGUAAGGGUGAAAUCUGUAGAUAUCGAGAGGAACACCAGUGGCGAAGGCGCCUCACUGGAUGACUGCUGACGCUGAACUGCGAAAGCUGGGGGAGCAAACAGGAUUAGAUACCCUGGUAGUCC